RNAcentral lists this ribosomal RNA (497 nucleotides) under uncultured bacterium. RNAcentral describes it as "partial 16S ribosomal RNA". It matches the Rfam family "Bacterial small subunit ribosomal RNA", at positions 28 to 507 of the family's 1533-position model. The record is from RNAcentral.
GAUGAACGCUGGCGGCGUGCCUAAUACAUGCAAGUCGAGCGAACAGACGAGGAGCUUGCUCCUUUGACGUUAGCGGCGGACGGGUGAGUAACACGUAGGCAACCUACCUAUAAGACUGGGAUAACUUCGGGAAACCGGAGCUAAUACCGGAUAAUAUUUUGAACCGCAUGGUUCGAUAGUGAAAGAUGGCUUUGCUAUCACUUAUAGAUGGACCUGCGCCGUAUUAGCUAGUUGGUAAGGUAACGGCUUACCAAGGCAACGAUACGUAGCCGACCUGAGAGGGUGAUCGGCCACACUGGAACUGAGACACGGUCCAGACUCCUACGGGAGGCAGCAGUAGGGAAUCUUCCGCAAUGGGCGAAAGCCUGACGGAGCAACGCCGCGUGAGUGAUGAAGGUCUUCGGAUCGUAAAACUCUGUUAUUAGGGAAGAACAAACGUGUAAGUAACUGUGCACGUCUUGACGGUACCUAAUCAGAAAGCCACGGCUAACUACGUG